Drosophila yakuba is the source of this 9950-nucleotide long non-coding RNA. RefSeq lists it as uncharacterized. The transcript has 2 exons. NCBI's taxonomy places the organism in Eukaryota, Metazoa, Arthropoda, Insecta, Diptera, Drosophilidae. The record is from RefSeq and is a predicted model, not a curated record.
AUUAUUUAUACUUAUUAUGUAGUAUUUAAUAGUUUAUUUUAUUGCUUUGGCACUUGCUUUAAAAACUUUGCAUUAAAUAAAUAAAAUUUGAAAAUAUUCUCUUUACCAGACGUGCGAAGUGAUUAUUUAAAUCGUGUUAGGCUGAUAAAAAUCAAACUUAAAUCAAUAAUUUAAGCCGACCCGUCGGCUGCAGAGCCAAUUGCAACCCAAUCAAGCGAACUGCAACAAAGCUGCUUAAAGUGUAAGUUCAGUUGGCUGUCAAUGGCAGUGGAUGUAGAUGGCAGUCAUUAUGCCAAUUACUCGGAAGUGGAGCAGGGGGACGAGGAGCGGGGAAUUUGCAAUGAAAUUUCGCUGUGGCAACAAAACUUUUACGAGUGUAUUAAAUAAGGCAGCAGGACCUGCAGGAUGAAAGCAUUCUCGUACAGCUUAAUCGAAACAUUCCAAAGUCGCUUUUCAGUUUCUCUGGAAAUUUAAUAUUCGAAAUGGUUUCUUCAGAAAGGAAGCGCAGUAAAUACCUCAUUGUUCGGAUACUUUGUCUUGAACACGAUUUCCACGUCUAUGAACACUUUGUUCAAUUUCGAAUUGUUUAUUUAAAAUUAUUUGAGGCAUAAUAAGAGGGGUUUGAAUUAUUGUAAAAUGCUGACCGUCUGUCGUUCGCAUAAAAAAACGGACAGAAAAUUAAUGAAACAUUCCUGGAAUUUCUAUUUGCUUUCACAACAAUUUCAUUAUACUUUCAGCAUCUGCUUUACUCAGCAUGAACUUUGGAUGACAAACUCAGUUUUAGCUGAAGGAAAUUUAAUGAACUUUUCUGCAAAUCCUUUAAUGCUAGUAAGUUUAAGUUUUCCCCCACUAAAGAUUGUAGCCAAAUCUGCCAGGAUAAAAUAAAUCUUACCCAAUUUCCCAGGCUGCAGGGAACUGAGGCUUAACCGCUUUGGGGUUUAAGUGGCCUGCCAAUUACCGGCAAACUUUGAGGCCAAACAAUGAGUGCGUAAAUGAGCAGGGAACGAUGGUCUUGGGUUGGGGGUCAGAGGUCACCACUCGCGAAUCGCGAGCUGAGCCCCCUCGCAUAGGCAAAUAAUGUGCGGAACGUGCAGGCCUCAUUAGGCUCCCCCACUCCCCACUCCCCCCUCAUUACUGUCGCCAUGGAAAUCGGGAAGGAAGUGGGCGGAAAGUGAAGAGUGGGUGGGUGGCAUGAACUGCCGCGAUUUGAGAUGAGGUUGCGCAAUGGCAGAUUGGCUCUCCUUCAAGUUUGCGGUAUUGAGGAGUCAAGGGGUAGCAAAAAUUCAAGAUACUGGAAGAAUUAAAGCUGGCGGAUUUUAAGAGGCAAAAGAGGAUUUUCUAGCAUGAAAAUUUCAUAUGCUCUUAAUAAAGUAAACUCUAGAGAAGACUCCAUGAUUAUUGAUGCACUGGGUAAAUACUUAAUUGUUGUUUUUUAUAUACACCAGAGAAGGUAUUCUUCAAACCUAAGACUGCUCAUAUUACUUUACAUAUCAAUAAUUGGAGCUAAAGAGUUAUAAGUAAAGCAUUUCACUUACUAGUGCUAGGUAUAUUUGUGUCUAUCUUAAUGUUCAUAAGCUCGGCUGAUGUAUUUCCUUUGAAUGUUUUUAUUUCUGCUGUCUUGCUGUUACCAUAAAUUGUGCACUAAUUUAUGCAAACGAUACGAAACAAAUUUGCCAGAAAGCUGAGGAAAACAAUUUGAAAGCGUGCCACAACAAAAUCAGCGAAAACAAGAUGAUAGCUGUAUCUUUGCAAUUCUUUUGGCAGACUGACAAAACCCACUGCAGUCGAACGAUUUCAAUCAGAAAUAAUUUUGUAUCUUUACUUGCGACAAGGUUUGUUUGUUAAACCGCUAAUUGGGAAUACUGUGCUUGGGAUAAUAAAAAUAUUUAAAAACACUUAAGAUUGAGUGUCUUGCUUUGAACACAUACAAAUAAGGAAUUUAUCUUCUUUGAUUUCCUUAAAAGUUAUUUAAGCAGUCCACAAAAAGAGUAGUUUUUUGUUGACUGUAGCUUAUUUACAAUUUGAAAUAAUUUGUGAAAUUUUGUUUACCACUUCAGCAUGCUUGAGUAACUAAUUUUCUUAAACUGAAUUGACCUACAGAGACAACUCCUUUGAAGUGACUGCAUUAAAAAUGCAUUAAAAUCGCUCAGUUGGAUUGUCGGCUAAUGGUCCCCGUGUGCUGGAUCCUUCCAUAAGCCCCUGUGCUCUGUCUGCGAGAGUAGUUUUUCCCGCUUUUCCCACAUUUUCCAGCAUUUUCCACGCACUACAUUUGCCGCGGACCACCGUGUGUGUGUGUGAAUUUGAUUGGCAGUGAGCCGUGGAGCUUCUAGGGUUCUUCUCCCUUGUGACUUGGCUCACAUCUUUUGCCGGCAUUUUGAAAAGCGCAUGAAAAAAAGAAGAAAAUUGUUAACCCAGUUUCGUGCCCUGUUGUCUGUCGCCUACUUUUCCGCUCUGCUUCUCGAGCAUUUCCACUGAAAACUUUAAUGACGUCAAUUACUCCUGCCCCGUUGAAGUUAAAUUGCUUCAGUUCGACUUAAGGAUUGCCUCUUAAUUGCUGGGAAUUCGUGCAGCAGUUGGGUUUUGCUUCGCUUUGUCUUAUUUAUUAUUUGAUAGCUAAUUGGAGUUUGAUUUUACUAAACAACGAAUUUCAACUGCUAUUAUUAUUUUGCACAUUUUCUCACUUUAAUUGUCAUGGACAAAUUAGAAAACAAAACAUAAUAUUCAUAAACGUAGUCGAGUAAUAUUAAAUGAGUUGAAUUAAAUACUAAAAUGAAAAGUUUUUUCUUUUCUAAAGCCUUUCAAUUGGAAGCCUGCAUUUGGGUUAGAAAAUGCCAUGAAUUUGUAGGCGCUUUUCCUUUUCCACCCAUAUAUCAAAAGUGAAAUGUCUGGCCUGUGCCAAAAUUAGCAAGUAGCUUGUCCUGUCCCAGUUUGACUUUGCUGCGUAUAAUUUCGCCUGACACUUUCCCCAUUCCUGUAGUCCGGUGAAAGUGCACAAAGUCUGUGGACUGGGGAACAGAUGCCACUUUCUCUGCAGGAUGGUGGGCUAAUCCCGCCCUGCACUACUCGUAUAUAUAAUGGCCGGUAUAAAUAGAGACUUGGAAGCAAAGUUGUCGGCAGAAUGACAACAUCAUCAACAUGAAAAUCAGCAGCUUGAUGAGAGAGAAAGAGAUGCGAUGGCCACCACUGGGAGUAAUGUAAGUGUGUGGGCUUUAAGGUAAUUUUCCCUCUUCCUUUUGCGUGAUUUUCCGGCUUGCGUCAUUGCGUGCAACUAUUUCCCAUUUCCCACGUAAUUCCGAGUGCGUGUGGCAGUUUCAGCUGACAUCAAAUGCAAUUAAAAUUGAAUUCCACUCAAAACCCACGCACACAAAGGCCUUUCAAAGGGCUUUCCACAACCCUUUUUUGCCGUCCAACUUUCUGCAUGUGGCAGCCCCUCAAAUCGCAUUACAUAAGCCAACAAUUAUGUUCCUUGUGCCCUGGCCCUCAACUUUGAACUUGCAUGUUUGCAUUCAAGUUGAUGUUAUGUGCGUAUAUACUGUACACUCUGUACACUCUCUGUGCGGCAUGGAAAUUCCGGGAAAAUCUUUGAGCAGCUGAGUGCAAAACAAAAGUGUCCUUGCCCUCCAUCUCAGUCUAUCCGACAUAUUGUGUGUUUCAAAGCAAUGCAUGUGCAUUUUGUAUUUAUAUUUCAUUUGGUUCUCGGCCCUGCUUUUGGCAGUUUUAUAAGUUAUUUAUUUUCCCAGCAAGUGCCAUUAAAUUGCGAGUGUAAGCUGCUUACUACAAGGGCUUUGGCUUUUUAAAAUAUUUUAGUUCAAUAAAAAAUUGGAAAGAUUUCCAGCUGAUACUUAAUUUCCCUUUCUAGUUAAUGAGCUGCACUUAAUUAACUUAGAUUGAAGGGAAUGCACUUUCCAUGUUGCAUCCACUGCACUUCAGGUAUUCCCAAAAUCGCGCUAGUUUGUGCGAAUUACGUUAAGUUCAUGGUCACUGUCGUCGGCUGACAAUUGAUCGACAAUUUGGCCAAAUACCCAGCGUGGGGGGAAGAAUGCGUGUGGGGGGAACGACGGCAUUGCCCCCAAAGAGCUUUUACAAAAAUAAAGUUAAUUAAAAAUUGUUUAGCGCGAGGGAAUGAGAGCGAGCAGAGAAACACAGGAGCAACAUCGCAACAUCGAGUGCCCUGAAAAUGCAAAUGUAAUUAAAUAAACACGACACCCGACGGACGCCCAUCAGCUUGGGUGGCUCUGGGUCCCCAUCGCGACUAGGAUUAGAUGGAUGAAGGAAGGAAGGAAGACCGGGGGGAUACGGAAUUCCUAAAGCAACGAGCCCCCCAAAAAAGGAGGAGCUUUAUCAAUUUUAGGGUCUCGAGCGGACAGCUGGCGGUAGAAGAUGAAUUCGAUGCCUCGGCGAGCAGGAAUUUUGUCGUUGCCAAAGGCACAGAGGGUAAGAAAGUACGGCCACGGUAAAUAAAGAAAUUCCCCCAACCAACCAUACACACUAACAAGUUCAACAUUUGGUCAUUGAGGUGUUCUUAUUAUGAAAUUUGCCAUUUUCUACUUGACUUUUUGGGUGCUAGCAUCUAGAACUAAAAUGUUGGCUAGAGAUUCACACUAAUUAUAAUUGGUAGGGCAAAUAUGUUUAUUAAAAUAUAUACAUUAUUAAUAUAUAAACAUUUACCUAUUGAAGCAGAUUGAGUGGCUGCAGCCCACUGUAGCUGCAUCGUGAGCACUUAAACAGCGGUAGACAAACAGAUUGAGUGGCAAUUUCACUCUAAAAUUGGGGAUGGCCAAAGAAACCAAGGGGGUGCAUGGGAAGCUGCCUCUGGCGUGGUGCAGUUUGUGGUUAAAUUGAUGGACAUGUCGCUUUUGCGUCGACAACUGCAAUUGUUCAGGCGGGAAACGAACCGCAGCCACUUCAUUAGCAGUGUAGCCAGCAUUUCAGCCAAGACGCCAACAUACAGAGCCUUGGCAAUCAAAUAGCUUCUGCUCCAAAGGCGUCUUGAGUGGGGGUCAGAAAUAUAUAUGUAUAUCAGAACUAAAACAUAGGGAGACUUAAAGGAAAGCUUAUGCUUUCGCUCGAAUUUUAAAUUAUAUUUAUGUGGAACAAGAAAAAAGUUUAGAAUGUAUGUACAUUUCAACUUGUUGGUCCUUUAGUAGUAAAUAUUUAAUGUGCAUAAAUAGCCCAUCAAUGCAUAAACUAUAUUCGUUAAUUAUUCACAUAGAACAUUUGCCUUUUGAAUGGGCGCACCCCUGUUUUAUUCACCAGCUGUGAGUGCUAUUCACAUUGAGCGAAAAGCUUCGGGACUCAGGUACAUGAAUUUGAUUUGUCGCCCAACACGAGAUUUGUAGUUGCCUCAAUUCAUUAUUUCUUUGCGGGAUCUGCUAAAUGAAAGGCGGCAUUUCUGUUGACACUCUUAAUUAAUGGGAGAUUAACUUUUUCAUUGUUUCGCUUACAUUUCGCCACUCGCAAUUCGCAUUCGCCACUCGCAAUUCGCAAUCGUAUUCGCAGUGUUCGCUUGCUCACGUGCAAACUCAUAAAUCACGCAUACGCCCGGUUGAACGACCUCGUCGCCAAUUAACGGCGCGGCCAACAAGGGCGUCCUGUCAAUGUGUCAGCCAGUCAUUCAGUCACUCAGUCAGCCAGUCAGCUAGUCGCGUUUCCGGUUCCGCCUGCGGAACGGAUUGCGUGCCAAAUGAUGUGUCACCUCACAUUCAAAUCCCGAAGUAGCAACUAAAGCCACAUGUCCUGAGCCAAAAAACCGCACCGUUCACGGAGAGAAAAAGCUGAUAAAUUGGACAGCUGGUCAAACAUAUUUAUUUGGGUUUUUUAAAAACCAUUUCCCAAGUAUUAGUUUAAACUAUUUAUUUGUAUCGAAGUAGUAACUUUAAGGCUAAUAUAGCAGCUCUUAAAAGUUGAAAAUUUAUAUUCUUCUAAUAUUUUCAAGCAUUUAAUAUUAAAUUCCUAUAUUUAAAUAAACAAUUUUUCCGAUUUUUCGCCAGUGCUGACAUGGGCCAUAAAAAUUGAGUUGGCCGAGUGCCAACAUGGCCAAGAGACCUUCGCUGUCUCCAGUGAGCGGAGCCAUCACUAUCACUGCGAGCCAGAACCUGGAGCCUGGCCCAAUUCAAUUAGAUGCCAAAUGUAAUUAGCUAAAUGGCUUCUCGAUGUUGUGAUAAGCACCCACCGGCACUUGCUCCCGUUUACUCCCCUGUCACAGCAGUCACUUUUCAUGGCCUGAGGAAGCGGACGACUUGUGCUGGGAGUUGUUAUUAAAAGUUUUGCCACCGCAGGGGCCAGAGUUCAGCAUCAGGCAGCUGGAAACUGGAAACUGAAUACGGAAUGCGGAAAACUGAAAACUGUUAACUGUGAACGGGCUUAGCCAACUUCUGCCAACGGUUUACAACUGCAGAAGGUUGCGCUUUAAGUGCGAGUUCUAAACUUAAGCAAACUUUGGAUGCCACAUUGCGUCAGUGGGGCAAUAAAGCUGGAUUACCAAGCUGCACUACACAAAUAUUCGAGAAUUUCAAUGAAACCUUAAGCAGCAGCGCUUAAAUGUUAGAUGAUAUAUAUAAUCAGAUAUGGAAGUUUUAACCACUGGAACAAACUGCUUAAAGUGAAACAAGCCUUAAAAUUUAACUGCAAAGUGCAGAAAAUGCAAAAGGAAUUAAUUAUGCUCACCGAUUAAUGCGGAAAUAAAUAAAUGAUUAAAACGCCCAUUGCGGAUUGAGUGUUAAAGGGUUUUCGAGGCCACUGAUGGGUCAUUAAUUAAACAUGCAUUUCCGGAAUGCGGUCACUUCAAUAAAAUCGUAAAAUAAAUAAUUGGCAUUUUGUGCUUUUCCGUUUUUCUGAUUUUUAUUUAUACUUGCUGGGCAAACAGUUUAUAAUUGGGCUGCAAUUUAUACAAAAUGCCGCCAUUAAAUAUGGCGCCUAUUUGCCUUUGUCCUAACGAUUUCUAAGCCACGCCCACCUCCAGCAACGCCCUAAGCAAACACAAAUACAAACAGCAACACAGACAGACAGACAGACACAUAGACAGACACGCAGACACAGACGAAACGAAGCCAAUCUUUGGUUUACGGGGCGGAUGUGUAAUAUGCUUUGCCUACUUUUGUUACUGGCUUUUGGGCCUUUGAUGCGCCCUCAUCCAUCAAAAUGUUUGCAGACACACAAAAUAUGCUCAGCACAGCGCUUGUUUGCUUGUGUUUUAAUAUUUUAUAAAUAUUGCGAUUUCCCUAAGCUGUUAAACUCGUAGUUGGGCUGUUUAUUUAUCAACUCUUUAAGCAAGAAGCUUAUGUUUAUUACUUUAUUACUUUUUAUUAUUAUUUAUUUAUUUUUUAAUUUUUACUGUAAAUACUAUAUAUUUACAUACAAUUUUCUAGGUUCCCCUGCAACUUUUUUCCAGGUGCAUCUGUGCAAAUCAGUGUCAGUGGCAUUACACCAGCAUAUCCUCCUCAGAGGAAAACUUGGGACUGCCGCCGCAUCUCGAUGAUCAGUGAACUGCAAUAAUUCGAUUUCGAUGCGCAGCUCUGCAGCCAGAAAUCUGGCUGGUUAACUGCUGAAGCCGUAGGAGUAGGAAAAUGCUGCGGAAAACCGGAGGGCGGGAAAAUCCAGUCGAGGCAGCCUGUCUACCUGAGGCGCCUGCAUCAACCUGCAGCUUAAUUUGUGACGCAAUGCAUGACGAGUUGGAGGAAAAGGCUGCCUGCGUCUUUGUUGAUUGCGGAAGAGCAGGGGAGUGGAUGGUUGGCAAAGAAAAUGACGUGCCAUGAAAUUGAUUGCAAAGUUUUUGCCCCCCAAAGAGGCAGCUCCUUUAGCGAGCUGAAGAGCCUGGGACUCCUGGAACUCGGGACUCAGGUGGGCGUCGUCAAAGGUCAAAGCGGUGUGCAUAGGCAAAACCAUUCCAGCGACCUCCCAUCUCCACCCUCCGACCCUUAACCCUGCUGAAGUGGGCGGGGUUUAUGUUUGCCACUACUGUCGAUCGCAUAUUAAAUGAGCUUACCUUCGGGCGCCUGAAAGAGCCCCUGAGCACGCCUUCAAAUUGCUCAGCUGCGAGGCAAUGUGCACGUCAAUUAAAGUGGUUUACGGCCAAGUUUAUCCGGGGAUGUGUUCCAGGAAAGUGGCGCCUUGGGCUUGGCUAAAAUCCAACUUUAUGGCACAUCACAUGUUCAAACGUGGCUUGUUAUUACAAGAGAAGAUUAGCUACUAUAACAGUGCUAUCUGUAAGCCCAACUAAUAAAAGUUGCUGCGGUGAUGCUAAAAAAGAGGAAAUCUUGGGGGUUUUGGGGGCUGGACCCUGCCAAUUUGCGAGUGACAAGGGUUCUUUGGCGACGUUACGUCAAAAGGAUGUAAAAAUAGCUGCUUACUCUGUUGGCCAGGAAACGGAAGCGCACAAAAAGUGUCCCACAAAAAGUUUCAAUUAGUUGAGUGCAAUGUUUAGACAAGCUGACGAGGGCCCACAGAUACCCUAUUUUUUCAGAGGCAGUACAAUUCCAUGUGGAAUAGGAGGACUCCCUAGCCUGCUGCAAUAUGAUUCCAAUUCGCAUUUCCCUUACAACUCGGUCUCCAUUCGGCACACUCCCGGUGGAUAUCCUGAACAGGACACUAUCAGCACGGCUGGCAGGAGCAGCACUACAUGUGGCCACUCGUUCAUCCUCAUUUCUGGAUUAAAUAUUAUUACGGAUGGAGAUGGUAUAUAGAAGUGCACUACCUUGAUUUUGUGGCGGAACGAAAGCCUUUCGAUUUUCCAAGCAAACGAAAACGACAAAUAAUUUUACGGGUUUUAUUUUCGAGUAACUACGUUAUAGGAAGCAAUGAAGGGCUUUGUUUUGGGUGAGUUAUAAGAGUAAAAAAUUAACAGAGUUUUAUAAUAUUAUAAAGCACUUUCUUUGGGAUUUAUGUAAGACUGUAAGUAUCUUCAAAGUAAAGUAUAUCCCAAUAAAGGAGCACACACGAGAAUUCAGCGAAAAUGCCCCAAUCCCUCUUGACAUUUUUUACGAAAUUUUUGUCUGUGCAAUUUGUGGAACAAAUUGCGGAUUGGAUCCGCCCACCCCACGUUCGUUUCACAUGUUAUUUGAUUAAUUGGCAGGGAGGGGGAAGGGGAAGAGUGUCGCUUACCGAUAUUAACGAUGCCAUGGUUGGUUAGUUCCCAGCAGGACUGCAGUCGCAGGAUGCUGAGGCUGUGGCUCUGUUUGGGCGAGAAGUAGCCGAGUGCCGCAUCCGUGACGUGGUAAGCCUGUUGGGAGCGGGAGGAGAUUCAAUUAAUUCGAUACGAGGCCACGGGCAACAUGGCACGGUGCAUGGUGCUAGAGAAGGAGGAGGAGCAGCUAGAGAAGCUCUGGCAGAUCCUCCAUCAAUCUGGACUUGCCUGCAGCGAGAACUCGUAGAGGGAGGGCAGGAGCUGGGCCACCGCGCCCACCGCCUCGUCCGCGAUGUUGAUGCAGUCCGCCAGGGACAGGGACACGAUGCGGGGCGUUAGACACGCCCACAGACCCGCCUCGGUCACCUCGUUGCAGCCAGCCAGCUCCAGUUCAAACAAACUCUGCAAUUGAGGGGAUUGGGUGUUACAAACGACAGCAAGGACACUUUGCGCACAGGAUUUCAUUAAAAAUAUCAGCAAAUAUACUCUAAUAUGUGUAUUAAAUGAAUAAAGGCAUCACAGACUUACUUUAUGGAAUUCAUCUUAACGUGCUAGUAAAUUUGACUAAAGGUACUUAAGUAUUAGUUAGGAAUAACUCAGUAAAAUAUAAUUUUUGCUUUCCUUCAAAUGCAAAUCUAAAUAAAUGAAAAGAAAUGAGGUCAGGCUAAUAAACACAUAUUGAUAUUAAUUUACAUGUAGCACAACUUGAAAAACAAAUGUUUUCUUUUAAAAAAAUACAAAAACUUGCAAACGUGAUAAAACUGAAAAUUCUUGAAACAAAAUGUAAUACACCUUGAAAAUAUUAAUAAAGAACUUUUAUUUUACCAGA